RNAcentral lists this ribosomal RNA (253 nucleotides) under uncultured bacterium. RNAcentral's name for it is "partial 16S ribosomal RNA". It matches the Rfam family "Bacterial small subunit ribosomal RNA", at positions 524 to 776 of the family's 1533-position model. The record is from RNAcentral.
UACGUAGGCAGCAAGCGUUGUUCGGAGUUACUGGGCGUAAAGGGUGCGUAGGCGGCUGUUUAAGUUUGGUGUGAAAUCUCCCGGCUCAACCGGGAGGGUGCGCCGAAUACUGAGCGGCUAGAGUGCGGGAGAGGAAAGUGGAAUUCCUGGUGUAGCGGUGAAAUGCGUAGAUAUCAGGAGGAACACCGGUGGUGUAAACGGCUUUCUGGACCGUAACUGACGCUGAGGCACGAAAGCGUGGGUAGCAAACAGG